Molecule: ribosomal RNA, 506 nt
Filed under: uncultured bacterium
Lineage: Bacteria
Description: partial 16S ribosomal RNA
Rfam family: Bacterial small subunit ribosomal RNA
Source: RNAcentral
AGUGAACGCUGGCGGUAGGCCUAACACAUGCAAGUCGAACGGCAGCACAGAGGAGCUUGCUCCUUGGGUGGCGAGUGGCGGACGGGUGAGGAAUACAUCGGAAUCUACUCUGUCGUGGGGGAUAACGUAGGGAAACUUACGCUAAUACCGCAUACGACCUACGGGUGAAAGCAGGGGACCUUCGGGCCUUGCGCGAUUGAAUGAGCCGAUGUCGGAUUAGCUAGUUGGCGGGGUAAAGGCCCACAAAGGCGACGAUCCGUAGCUGGUCUGAGAGGAUGAUCAGCCACACUGGAACUGAGACACGGUCCAGACUCCUACGGGAGGCAGCAGUGGGGAAUAUUGGACAAUGGGCGCAAGCCUGAUCCAGCCAUACCGCGUGGGUGAAGAAGGCCUUCGGGUUGUAGAGCCCUUUUGUUGGGAAAGAAAUCCAGCUGGCUAAUACCCGGUUGGGAUGACGGUACCCAAAGAAUAAGCACCGGCUAACUUCGUGCCAGCCGCCGCAGUAA